Molecule: long non-coding RNA, 271 nt
Filed under: Elaeis guineensis (African oil palm)
Lineage: Eukaryota; Viridiplantae; Streptophyta; Magnoliopsida; Arecales; Arecaceae
Description: long non-coding RNA (EGUI_LNC033396)
Source: RNAcentral
UCAAUUCUAUCUAGUAGUGAGAUAUACAAUGAUCUCUAACAAAGUAUCAUUGAAACUCUUUUCAAUGGGUCGAAACAAUUCCACCCUAACUUAUCAAGGAUUGUCGAUCCAGAAUAAUCCUAGUGAGCUCUCACAAUCCAUGAGUGACACCUAGCAGUAUAUAGUGGCAACCCAGUAGAACUGAAAUAAAUCUUUAGGUGUAGUUAACAUAUGAUUCAGUCUCUCUAUCAUGAGUUCUGACUUGAUGAUAGGUCAUGAAUAAAUCAUCAAA